GAUGAAGAACGUAGCGAAAUGCGAUAAGUAAUGUGAAUUGCAGAAUUCCGUGAAUCAUCGAAUCUUUGAACGCACAUUGCGCCCUGUGGUAUUCCGCAGGGCAUGCCUGUUCGAGCGUCAUUUCAACCCUCAAGCUCUGCUUGGUGUUGGGCCCUGCCCGCUGCGGCCGGCCCUAAAGACAGUGGCGGUGCCGCCUGGCCCUGAGCGUAGUACAUCUCUCGCUCCAGUGCCCGGUGGUAGCCUGCCAGAACCCCAACUCUCGUGGUUGACCUCGGAUCAGGUAGGGAUACCCGCUGAACUUAAGCAUAUCAAUAAGCGGAGGA
RNAcentral lists this unclassified non-coding RNA (323 nucleotides) under soil metagenome. RNAcentral's name for it is "partial contains 5.8S ribosomal RNA, internal transcribed spacer 2, and large subunit ribosomal RNA". The stretch from base 1 to 120 matches the Rfam family "5.8S ribosomal RNA", at positions 35 to 154 of the family's 154-position model. The record is from RNAcentral.